This 433-nucleotide ribosomal RNA is filed under the name uncultured bacterium. RNAcentral describes it as "partial 16S ribosomal RNA". It matches the Rfam family "Bacterial small subunit ribosomal RNA", at positions 29 to 507 of the family's 1533-position model. The record is from RNAcentral.
AGCGAACGCUGGCGGCAGGCCUAACACAUGCAAGUCGAACGGAUCCUUCGGGAUUAGUGGCGGACGGGUGAGUAACACGUGGGAACGUGCCCUUUGGUUCGGAACAACUCAGGGAAACUUGAGCUAAUACCGGAUGUGCCCUUCGGGGGAAAGAUUUAUCGCCAUUGGAGCGGCCCGCGUCUGAUUAGCUAGUUGGUGAGGUAACGGCCCACCAAGGCGACGAUCAGUAGCUGGUCAGAGAGGAUGGGCAGCCACACUGGGACUGAGACACGGCGCAGACUCCUACGGGAGGCAGCAGUGGGGAAUCUUGCGCAAUGGGCGAAAGCAUGACGCAGCCAUGGCGCGUGAAUGAUGAAGGUCUUAGGAAUGUAAAAUUCUUUCAGCGGGGACGAUAAUGACGGUACCCGCAGAAGAAGCUCCGGCUAACUUCGUG